RNAcentral lists this unclassified non-coding RNA (324 nucleotides) under uncultured fungus. RNAcentral's name for it is "partial contains 5.8S ribosomal RNA and internal transcribed spacer 2". The stretch from base 1 to 133 matches the Rfam family "5.8S ribosomal RNA", at positions 22 to 154 of the family's 154-position model. The record is from RNAcentral. Lineage: Eukaryota; Fungi.
UGGUUCUGGCAUCGAUGAAGAACGCAGCGAAAUGCGAUAAGUAAUGUGAAUUGCAGAAUUCAGUGAAUCAUCGAAUCUUUGAACGCACAUUGCGCCCAUUAGUAUUCUAGUGGGCAUGCCUGUUCGAGCGUCAUUUCAACCCUUAAGCCUCUGUUGCUUAGUGUUGGGAGCCUACAGCACCUGUAGCUCCCCAAAGUUAGUGGCGGAGUCGGUCCACACUCUAGACGUAGUAAUUUUAUCUCGCCUAUUAGUUGGACCGGUCUCCCGCCGUAAAACCCCUAUAUUUUAAAGGUUGACCUCGGAUCGGGUAGGAAUACCCGCUGA